CCUUCACCCACAGCUAUUUCCACCCGUGGGGCUGGCUGUGGAUAGCUCACCUCCAGGUCUGUGGGGCAGCUCUGCCCAGGGCCAAGCCUUGCCAAAAGCAUUCCCUGGUGAGAUGCAGCCCCAUGAUGAACCAGCUGAGAAUCACCAGGGAGCCAAGCAGGUGGAGGAUUUUAAUACCUAUCCCACUCUAACUGCUAUGGAAAGGGAAAGUUCAUUGGUUGUCGAUAUUACCCUGCUGUGAUAAAAGCUUAAGAAGCUGCUUUGCAGAUGCCCACUGUGAGGAGCAUGCUAUAAAUGUUUGCAGUGGGAAGCGAUACAUCACAGCUCAUGGAUGCUCCCACUGAGAAAGACCCCAGCUCCACCUUCUUCCAGGGACGCACUUAGGAAAUGCAAUCUACCACUGCCAGCAUAAUCAUAUUGUUUUCCCAGGUUACUGUUACCAUCUCCACUCUGCCAGGAGGGAAACUGAGGCUGGGAAUGUCACCUAUGACUGCUGUGCUUGUGGAUGUCUCCUUGGAAUCACAUCAGUCCAUUAUAGGCACAGCUUUCCUUUGGCCAUCAGUGUCCAUCUGCUCAGAUGUUCCAGAGCUGCAUCAUGAAAGCUUGGGAAAUUUAUUUAUUUCAACCCAUUUAAAGUGAUUUCACUAAUGUAUUCCACAGAGUGGGUUUAGCGUGUGAGCUCUUUACUAAAAUCAUUACUGUAUUAAUGAGACCUAACCUAAAGCCACUGAACAUGACUUUAAAGGAAUAUCUCAAAGCGGCGGCUGAGAUGGAUGGGAGCAGACAGAACAUGUUUGUCAAGUUAUAUUUAGCCAAAUCAAACUGGAACUUAUUAAAUACAGCAAAAUAAUUCACUGAAUAAUUCACUCCAGUUGAAUGCGAAGGAUUUGGAGAACCUUGGGUUGUUUGAUUGAAAAACGGGUUAUUGAUGCUCCCGCGCGUGUGACGGAGCAGAAAUAGGAGUGGGAGGUGGAGAGCUGUCGCCUCGGUGUGAAGGGCCUGCUGUGGAGAAAGGUCCAUCAGAUAGAAAGGUUGGCAAAGCGUGGAUGGAAUUAAAGCUCAUGCUUUGGUUUGGGAGGGAAAUGAGCAGCAACCCCUGAUUGGGGAGUAUGGGGAUGUGUGAGAACACUCUGUGAGCAGCGAAGGGUAAGAGGAGGAAUGGCUCCAGCAGAGCCUUUGCAUGGACCCAAGCAGGGCAUGCAUCUACUCUUAAAGUAAAACCUCAUUCCCUUUUUAUGCAAACUUCAGGACACACCUCAGAGCUGGUCCCAACCAUUCAGCCAUCCCUAUAGCAUCGAAGAGGAUCAGCUUUGCUUCACGUAUGAGAAAACCCCGGCACAGACACCAUGGCAGCUCAGCCAUGUGUCCCCUCUGCACCCCCUCCUCCUUUAACCCCAUUCAUGCCAGCACGCUCCGUUCAGGAAUCUCCCAGCAAAAGGAAAAGCUUUAAACAAAAUACAAUUUUACAGUUCAUUUCAGUUAAUCACGGAGUCUAUGUUCUGAAAUGAUCUUCUCGGCAUUGCCUAUGGAGAGAAGCAAUGGCUGAUUGGCAUUCCAUU
This is a long non-coding RNA of Phasianus colchicus (ring-necked pheasant), 1559 nucleotides long. The record is from Ensembl. Lineage: Eukaryota; Metazoa; Chordata; Aves; Galliformes; Phasianidae.